RNAcentral lists this long non-coding RNA (548 nucleotides) under Linum usitatissimum (flax). RNAcentral describes it as "long non-coding RNA (LUSI_LNC002711)". Lineage: Eukaryota; Viridiplantae; Streptophyta; Magnoliopsida; Malpighiales; Linaceae. The record is from RNAcentral.
AAUGACCACUUUUACUAGACCAAAGAUCUUAGCUUUUCUUUUCUUUUUUGCUUCAUUGAUUCAUUCUUUUUUCUUUUCUGUGAAUAUUGAAAAGACGGUAUAGGAUAUGAUUUAUUCAUAUGAUUCAUUAGUUUUCACCUUGUUUUUUUUUUGGUUAUGUACAACCUAGGGGAAAAGAUGGUAUAGGAUUUGAUUUAUUCAUAUGAUUCAUUAGUUUUCACCUUGUUUUUUUUUUGGUUAUGUACAACCUAGGAUUUGAUUUACCAGAGCUGUAAAGACUAAAGAGCAUUUCUUACAGUCUCUUUAGACAUAAUACAGCAAAUGGGGAACUUGUUCAUGAAGCAAAAGCUUGAAUUGAAAUCACAGUCCUGGAAUUGUUCUACAGCAGCCAUUUUUGACUUAAACCAGACAAAGCACAGAAGAAGGAAUCAUGUGUAAGUAACCUUUUGAAGUGAAAACCCGACAAAUUCAAAUCCUUGAUGUUUUCAAGAACAUUGAUCCUUUCCAAUGAACUGAUGUUAGCGCAUGCAUGGAAUAAAAAUAUAGGU